RNAcentral lists this ribosomal RNA (250 nucleotides) under uncultured bacterium. RNAcentral's name for it is "partial 16S ribosomal RNA". It matches the Rfam family "Bacterial small subunit ribosomal RNA", at positions 524 to 773 of the family's 1533-position model. The record is from RNAcentral.
UACGGAGGGGGCUAGCGUUAUUCGGAAUUACUGGGCGUAAAGCGCACGUAGGCGGAUUAGAAAGUCAGAGGUGAAAUCCCAGGGCUCAACCUUGGAACUGCCUUUGAAACUUCUAGUCUUGAGUUCGAGAGAGGUAAGUGGAAUUCCGAGUGUAGAGGUGAAAUUCGUAGAUAUUCGGAGGAACACCAGUGGCGAAGGCGGCUUACUGGCUCGAUACUGACGCUGAGGUGCGAAAGCGUGGGGAGCAAAC